GUUUGAUCCUGGCUCAGGAUGAACGCUGGCGGCGUGCCUAAUACAUGCAAGUCGAGCGAACUGAUUAGAAGCUUGCUUCUAUGACGUUAGCGGCGGACGGGUGAGUAACACGUGGGCAACCUGCCUGUAAGACUGGGAUAACUUCAGGAAACCGAAGCUAAUACCGGAUAGGAUCUUCUCCUUCAUGGGAGAUGAUUGAAAGAUGGUUUCGGCUAUCACUUAUAGAUGGGCCCGCGGUGCAUUAGCUAGUUGGUGAGGUAACGGCUCACCAAGGCAACGAUGCAUAGCCGACCUGAGAGGGUGAUCGGCCACACUGGGACUGAGACACGGCCCAGACUCCUGCGGGAGGCAGCAGUAGGGAAUCUUCCGCAAUGGACGAAAGUCUGACGGAGCAACGCCGCGUGAGUGAUGAAGGCUUUCGGGUCGUAAAACUCUGUUGUUAGGGAAGAACAAGUACGAGAGUAACUGCUCGUACCUUGACGGUACCUAACCAGAAAGCCACGGCUAACUACGUGCCAGCAGCCGCGGUAAUACGUAGGUGGCAAGCGUUAUCCGGAAUUAUUGGGCGUAAAGCGCGCGCAGGCGGUUUCUUAAGUCUGAUGUGAAAGCCCACGGCUCAACCGUGGAGGGUCAUUGGAAACUGGGGGAACUUGAGUGCAGAAGAGAAAAGCGGAAUUCCACGUGUAGCGGUGAAAUGCGUAGAGAUGUGGAGGAACACCAGUGGCGAAGGCGGCUUUUUGGUCUGUAACUGACGCUGAGGCGCGAAAGCGUGGGGAGCAAACAGGAUUAGAUACCCUGGUAGUCCACGCCGUAAACGAUGAGUGCUAAGUGUUAGAGGGUUUGCCGCCCUUUAGUGCUGCAGCUA
Molecule: ribosomal RNA, 865 nt
Filed under: Priestia megaterium
Lineage: Bacteria; Bacillati; Bacillota; Bacilli; Caryophanales; Bacillaceae
Description: bacterial SSU rRNA
Rfam family: Bacterial small subunit ribosomal RNA
Source: RNAcentral